RNAcentral lists this ribosomal RNA (355 nucleotides) under uncultured bacterium. RNAcentral describes it as "bacterial SSU rRNA". It matches the Rfam family "Bacterial small subunit ribosomal RNA", at positions 527 to 881 of the family's 1533-position model. The record is from RNAcentral.
GUAGGGAGCGAGCGUUAUCCGGAUUUAUUGGGUGUAAAGGGUGCGUAGACGGGAAUACAAGUUAGUUGUGAAAUACCUCGGCUUAACUGAGGAACUGCAACUAAAACUAUAUNUCUUGAGUACAGGAGAGGUAAGUGGAAUNCCUAGUGUAGCGGUGAAAUGCGUAGAUAUUAGGAGGAACACCAGUGGCGAAGGCGACUUACUGGACUGAAACUGACGUUGAGGCACGAAAGUGUGGGGAGCAAACAGGAUUAGAUACCCUGGUAGUCCACACCGUAAACGAUGGAUACUAGGUGUAGGAGAUAUUAAGUCUUCUGUGCCGUCGCAAACGCAGUAAGUAUCCCACCUGGGGAGU